AAUAUAUUGUUCACUCACUGUAAGAUGUUACUAGAUCUAGCUCAUGUUAGAAAACAUUAAGUCAUUAAUAAAUUGUACAAUGAAGUCUAU
Long non-coding RNA from Sinocyclocheilus grahami, 90 nucleotides. RefSeq lists it as uncharacterized. The transcript is spliced from 4 exons. NCBI's taxonomy places the organism in Eukaryota, Metazoa, Chordata, Actinopteri, Cypriniformes, Cyprinidae. The record is from RefSeq and is a predicted model, not a curated record.